Molecule: long non-coding RNA, 821 nt
Organism: Cyprinus carpio (common carp)
Lineage: Eukaryota; Metazoa; Chordata; Actinopteri; Cypriniformes; Cyprinidae
Exons: 3
Source: RefSeq, a predicted model, not a curated record
AAGUUUCUGAGUUCAAAGGCUCUGCAAUCCCCAUCCUUACUUCCAUUGUGCUAUCUCUAUCUCUAUCAAGAUUAAGGAUUUAACCAUUAUCCACUGUAUGAAGCCCUGCAACCUCUAAAGCACCCAGACUCAGGCUCCAUGAGCCUACUCUGAGGAUCCAGAUGGAAAAACAUUUACAUCCCAUCAUUAUAUACACCCCUCAGGAUCACCUUGUCUAUUAGACACAUUACUCAAGGUACAGUAAAUAAUCUCCAUUAUAAAUCAGUGCAUGAUGAUAUAAAAUCACAGUGAUGUUGCUUUGUGUUUUCAGAGGGCAGAAAUAAUUUGUUCCAUACCAUCCUCAUAUCUAUCCUCAUGUGCAAAGGAGGCCAGCAUAAUGUCAAAUCAAGAUCUUAUUUGUGAUCUGUUUGUUUUCAGUCUUAUAACAUGGCAAAAGCACAACCAUCAGAAUUAAAGGGGAAAAUGCACAAGCAUCUAGAUGUAAUGAAUACUAAAAAAAAGACUAUUUUUUAAUGUAUAAACUAAGUUUUUCCAACUACAGUAAUGUAAAUUUUUUUGCAUGAUUUCAAACAUUUUUGUGAUACACUAUCAUUACUUUCAGGCCUAACCUGAAUACAAAUGAAGCACAGCAAACCUGUUUUAGAUGUACAAGACAAUGUUUUGAACCUCAAAACUAAAGUAUUUAUGUGUUGAAAAUGAUCAAAAUGUAUAGAUUUUCCCCUCUGUUUAAAGGGCAGGUGAUUGAAAAUAAUAUGAACAAAAUGGUUAUAUAGGUAUUAUAAUGUAUUUUGCAUUAUGCCUGAAAUAAAAUUUUGAUCGAA